Molecule: long non-coding RNA, 251 nt
Organism: Pistacia vera
Lineage: Eukaryota; Viridiplantae; Streptophyta; Magnoliopsida; Sapindales; Anacardiaceae
Exons: 4
Source: RefSeq, a predicted model, not a curated record
CCAGAGAACGCAAAGUGAGGCAAGCCCUCUUGCCACUACUCGGAUUUUUAUUUAGAUCAGGUAUGCCAACGGAGGAAUGAUAUCUUACUGCAAGCUGCUAUCAUGGUGCUGAUGAUCUCAGUUAAGAGAUUUUAUGAGCAUGGAGGUGAGAUGCAAGUCGCACAAGAUGCUCCUUUAAAGCCAUCUAUGGAUAUCUUUGCUGUAGGGUAUGCCAACGGAGGAAUGAUAUCUUACUGCAAGCUGCUAUUAUG